AUAAAUAGACAGCUACAAAAAAUAUUGAUGAAACUGCGUUGGUAAAUAGUAUGGUCUAGAGCUUAUCAUGAGGUACUCUAACUUAGGCGAGCAGAAUGUUUAAACUUCCAUAAUAUUAGAGAUUGCACACAAUAUAUUGUUAAUAAAGACACACACCUCCCCCCUGAUCUUACCAGACUCUGCCGUUCUGUCCUGCCGAUGCAUAGAAAAACCAGCUGAGCUUGUACAGUUUAUUCUCCAGCAAUUGCACAUUUGCCAACAGAGCAGUGGGUCGAGGCUAUAUAUUCAUUGGCCACCAUAGUCUCACCAGGGUGUCCAUGCAUCAGCCUCUAUAGCGCUGUCUUCUUCUCCUUUGAGUGUCAGGGAUUACGGCCUGGUCCAGGAUAAUCAAUAUGGCUUUAGCCUCUGACUCACUGAAGUAGAAGUCCUCGUCCAAAUUCGAGGUUAGUGAUAGCUGUUCAGAAGUUCUUGUCGGUCAUAUGAAAUGAUGGCAGUAACAUUAUGUACAAAAAAAGUUAAGAUAAGCCCUAAAAAAUACAUAAAAUAGCACAAUGGGUUAGGAGCCCGUAAAACAGUCCUUCUGCCGCUAUUCCAAAAAACAAAUGUAAAAAAUAUACUGAAAAUAAUCUGUAUAUGUAAAAUGUGGUGGUGGUCUUUCAGUUUCCACUGGUCCUGGGGGCCCUUUUUAAGGUCAACGGCAUCAUGAAUUUUAUCCAUUUUAGCCUCUGCCAUGAAGCUGAAUCUUGGCGACAAGUGGAAGAUUUUCCAGCAAGACAAUAACCAAGCACACAUAAAAAUCUACAAAUAAUUGGUUAAUUAACCACAAAAACAACAUUUGCAAUGGCCAUCUGUCUCCGGAAUAAAACCCAAUUGAAAACCUGCGGUUUGAAGUAAAGAGGUCAUUCCAUAAGCGCAGACCAAAGUAUUUAUCAAGGAUAUGGAAAAGAUUCUGUAUGGAGGAAUGGUGUAAGAGCUCUCCUAAUGUGUUCUCCAAUCUCAUAAAACAUUUUAGAUAAAGGCUCAGUUACGUUAUCCUUGUAAGGGGAGGGUGCCAAAAACAGGGGUGAGUAUUGAAAACAGGGAUGCCAAUAAUGUUUUUGAGAAUUUAUUUGUAUUACUUGUCAAACUAAAUAUUUUUUUCUAAACAAUUUUCCUAGUAUAAAAUAAUAUAUACAUUAUUUUAGCAUAGAAUAUAGGUCAGUAUUUGUAUUAUUCAUUUUAUACAGUAUUCUUUGCUAGUCUUUAUCAAGGCCGGGUGCCAAUAAUUCUGGACCUGAUUGUAUUAUAUGCACAGUUCUUAGUAGACUGUGCCAGUCAUCACUUUGUUAUUUAUUUAUUUUUGUAUUUUGCCCCCUUUUUCUCCCAAUUUCGAUCUUGUCUCAUUGCUGCAACUCCCCAACGGGCUCUGGAAAGGCGAAGACGGAGUCAUGCGUCCUCCAAAUCAUGACCUGCCGAAUCACGCUCUUUAACACCCGUCAGCUUAACCCUGAAGCCAGCUGGACCAAUGUGUCAGAGGAAACACCACAAGGAGUUGCUAGGGCGCGAUGAGCCAAGUAAAGCCCCCCCCCCACCAAACCCUCCUCUAACCUGGACUACGCUGGGCCAAUUGUGUGCCGUCCUAUGGGACCCCCGGCCAUGGCCGUUUGUGGCACAGCCCGGGAAUGAACCCGGGUGUCCCAAACGGUACUGCUGUGUGGACAGACAUUCUGGGUUAAAAACAAAUAUACAAUCCUCAGAAGGAACGUUACGGACUCUGCCAGUGAGACCAUGCCGAUGCAAGACAUUGCAGGUGGCCACCAUCUUUAACCACUCUCUUGCCUGACCAGCUUGUGGACUAGAGAGCCAGAGACACUAAAAGCAUCUGAAACUCUUUUGUUAUGUGUUUACUCAUUACCGCUUGUGUAGUCGGGCACACCACACUCUUCCCAACAGUAUACAAACGAGGAGGCAUGCAAAGUUAUAUCUUGGUGUGUUAUGCACAACACAUUUACCAUCCUCCUCCCUUACCUCUUCAAUGAAUAUACCAUAGGCCUCUACAUUAUGGACAAGACGUCACCCUCCCUACACCUCUGCAUUUAACAGAAAACCUGUUCAAUCACAACGUACUGCAAAAUCAUUCUGGCUAUGUACACGGAGAACAUCAACACACCAGAGGAUAUAUCCAUUAUACUUGGGCCUCUGCUGGGAGUUUACCUCAUAUUUAGAUUUUUUAAUUCUGCUGUGCCACUAAAAUCCAAAUAAACACUGACAACUAAAAUAUUCUGUUAUUUUUAUGUAUAUUAAUGACGUGUGGACUGGGGGGUAAAAAUUUACCCCAAAGGUUGAGGAACAAUUUAAAAGGGGUUCUUAAAAGGAUUAUUUAAAGAACCCUUUAAAAGGGUUCUUCGAAGAACUUAUAGGAUACUCCAGGAACCUUUCAUUUUUAGAGUGUGGGUUAACUUAUAAUACGUAAAUGAAUGUGGAAAUAGAACACACAGAACAUGCACCUGAAAGUGGAACAAUUUACCCACUUAGUGCCUAUACCUACAGAAACACAUCCUCACUGGACACAACUUGAACAUUCCCCAAAACAAUUUCAGAAUGACACGAUAAGGGGGACAAAAAAAGAACAAAACAUUUUUGCUUAGCAGUUAUUGUAUUUGAUGUGGGCAGUGUGGCAGCUGAGUUUCACCAUGGCUGGCUGAGUAUGGGCUGGCUGACUAUGGGCUGGCUGAGUAUGGGCUGGCUGAGUAUGGGCUGGCUGACACAGGUUUAUGAGCAACAAGCAUCCAAUCAAUAUGCAUUGAUCCAAGAUGGCGUAGCAGUCAGACGUCUUUGUCCUGUCAUGUCCCUUGUAUAUAUCGUUUUACAUAUUUUUCGUCGCAUAUCCUUUCAAAUAUUUUGUAACUGGAUGCAGUCUAUGACAGUGCCAUCCGUUUUGUCACCAAAGCCCCAUUCACUACCCACCAUUGCGACCUGCACGCUCUCGUUGGUUGGCCCUCGCUUCAUACUCGUUG
This is a long non-coding RNA of Oncorhynchus gorbuscha (pink salmon), 2996 nucleotides long. RefSeq lists it as uncharacterized. The record is from RefSeq and is a predicted model, not a curated record. NCBI's taxonomy places the organism in Eukaryota, Metazoa, Chordata, Actinopteri, Salmoniformes, Salmonidae. The transcript is spliced from 5 exons.